ACAGCACGGCUCUCGUGGAUAAACUGGGAGAACUUGGGUGUGAAUCCUAAUAGGCGAUCGGUAUUGACGACGCUCGCCCUGACGACGGACAAUAUGAAUUGAAGCUGAAAAAACGGGGACGAUGAAAAUCGCAGGAUUCUCCUUUUCAUUUUCUAGUCUGGACGUGCAAUACGAGCGGAUAUCACGUUACGUUUCGUACAUCUACGUAUAAGUAUUCGUGUACAUCGGGAGCAUAUAGCUGAUCUAGUUUUAGUAUUUUGUUUGGAAUAAAAUCAGGAGGCUACAUCUCUCGAGUUUCAUUCGAGAACCCACAGCAUUUCCUAAUUCAAUUCUACUUGAUGUCCUAAAAUUAUUGGAAAUCGGUUAAUAAAUGAAGAUCUGUUUAA
Molecule: long non-coding RNA, 386 nt
Organism: Ceratina calcarata
Lineage: Eukaryota; Metazoa; Arthropoda; Insecta; Hymenoptera; Apidae
Exons: 2
Source: RefSeq, a predicted model, not a curated record